GUACCAUAACCGACACAGGUGGGUAGGUAGAGUAUACUAAGGGGCGCGAGAUAACUCUCUCUAAGGAACUCGGCAAAAUGACUCCGUAACUUCGGGAGAAGGAGUGCCUUAUUUAUAAGGUUGCAAUAACAAGAUCCAAGCAACUGUUUACCAAAAACACGGGUCUCCGCUAAGUCGUAAGACGAUGUAUGGGGGCUGACGCCUGCCCAGUGCCAGAAGGUUAAAGAAGUUGGUUAGCCUAGCGAAGCUGAUGACUGAAGCCCUGGUGAACGGCGGCCGUAACGAUAACGGUCCUAAGGUAGCGAAAUUCCUUGUCGGGUAAGUUCCGACCCGCACGAAAGGCGUAAUGAUUUGGAUACUGUCUCGGAGAGGGGCUCGGUGAAAUAGACUUGUCUGUGAAGAUGCGGACUACCUGCACCUGGACAGAAAGACCCUAUGAAGCUUUACUGUAACUUGAGAUUGAAAUUGGACUUUAUUUGCGCAGCAUAGGUGGGAGACGUUGAGAGUAUUCUUGCGGGAAUAUUGGAGUCAUCAGUGAGAUACCACUCUUGUAAUGUUAGAUUUCUAACUUUGUAUCAUUAUCUGGUCAAAGGACAGUUUCAGGCGGGCAGUUUGACUGGGGCGGUCGCCUCCCAAACGGUAACGGAGGCGCACAAAGGUUUCCUCUGAACGUGUAGAAAUCGUAUCUAGAGUGUAAAGGCAUAAGGAAGCUUGACUGUGAGACCUACAAGUCGAGCAGGGACGAAAGUCGGUCUUAGUGAUCUGACGGUGCUGAGUGGAAAGGCCGUCACUCAACGGAUAAAAGUUACUCUAGGAUAACAGGCUGAUCUCCCCCAAGAGUUCACAUCGACGGGGAGGUUUGGCACCUCGAUGUCGGCUCAUCGCAUCCUGGGGCGGUAGUACGUCCCAAGGGUUGGGCUGUUCGCCCAUGAAGGCGGUACGCGAGCUGGGUUCAGAACGUCGUGAGGCAGUUCGGUCCAUAUCCGGUGUAGGCGUUAGAAUAUUGAGAGGAGCCUUCUUUAGUACGAGAGGACCGAGAAGGACAUACCUCUGGUGUACCAGUUAUCGUGCCAACGGUAAACGCUGGGUAGCUAUGUAUGGAGUGGAUAACCGCUGAAAGCAUCUAAGUGGGAAGCCCACCUCAAGAUAAGUAUUCUCAUCACGUAAGUGAGUAAGGUCACGGUAAGACUAACCGUUUAAUAGGCAUUAAGUGUAAAUGUAGUAAUAUAUGAGCUGAGAUGUGCUAACAGACCGAGGACUUG
This 1262-nucleotide ribosomal RNA is filed under the name metagenome. RNAcentral's name for it is "bacterial LSU rRNA". It matches the Rfam family "Bacterial large subunit ribosomal RNA", at positions 1644 to 2925 of the family's 2925-position model. The record is from RNAcentral.